UGUAGUGUUGAUGUUUUUGAUCAGUGUAAUCGAAAAGAGGAAACAGAAAACUCACGUUUCUGCGAGGACAUCAUGCUACCAGGAUUAAGAACUGGAUUAGCCAAUCAACUGUGACAUGUUAACUCAAUAAACAGCAUUUCAGAGAUUGCUCCCUUAUCAGAACCUGCGAACCUGGGCCCGUGCACAUAUGGACCACCACGAACCCAGUUUCCUAAACAACAAAUUUGUUUUAUCAAUGAAUGGAAUAACACGGUGAUGUAUGGCGAGUCACACUAAGAAAAGGUCAUAUGAUGACGUUGCCCACAGAUGAUGACAACAUUCAAGAGCUAAAGUCACACGAUGACGAGGCCCAAGGAUGAUGAAGUCAUUAAACAGCUAAGUAAUAAGGCAAUGAUGGGGCCAUUCAACAGCUCAAAUCAGAUACAGACGACAUCCACAAAUAUGUCGAAGCUACUUGAAGUGGCAUAUCAAUUAAAGA
Mizuhopecten yessoensis (Yesso scallop) is the source of this 478-nucleotide long non-coding RNA. RefSeq lists it as uncharacterized. Lineage: Eukaryota; Metazoa; Mollusca; Bivalvia; Pectinida; Pectinidae. The transcript has 3 exons. The record is from RefSeq and is a predicted model, not a curated record.